GUGAUGCUGUCUUGAGUGGCAUGAGUGUUGUCAAAUAGCUGCUAUACUGGCACUAUAGCAUACCAUAAUUUGUUUAAUUUGCUAUAGUGUCAAAUCGCCAUUCAGUACAAAGUUUUCCCGAACAGCCUAUUCAGUACAAGUGUUGUCAAAUAUGGUGCUAUAGCAUUGUAGUGUAGUGGAGUAUGAACAAAUUGCAUUUUCCGCGAUCUGCAAUUCUAUUGGGAUUGGCGUGAGUUAACAUAUUAGUGUGGUGUUUUGGGCAAAAGGAAGGUGGGAUAUGUGAGCAUGCCACAGUGUAUGGGUUAAUUCUUUUAAGGGGAAUGUGGUGGUUAAAACAUAUGGUGCAAAUGUUUAGAUUUUUCUUGGUUGUAUGACCUUAGUUUUAUUCAACCUUGUAUUAGGCUGCUACUGCUUUGGACCUUGGUUUAAGGUUUGUUGGGGGAUAGGUGAUGUGAUGAACGGCGACAAUGUAAUAUCAUCUUUUGUUGUAAUCAUUCUGCACUGGCCAUGACUUCCAUUUUGCUCGUGCAAAAAAAUAAAACUGGGUUUUUUUAAUAAA
Non-coding RNA from Cicer arietinum (chickpea), 559 nucleotides. The record is from RefSeq and is a predicted model, not a curated record. NCBI's taxonomy places the organism in Eukaryota, Viridiplantae, Streptophyta, Magnoliopsida, Fabales, Fabaceae.